This 68-nucleotide transfer RNA is filed under the name Suncus murinus (house shrew). Its description in RNAcentral is "tRNA-Gly". It matches the Rfam family "tRNA". Rfam says of the family: Transfer RNA (tRNA) molecules are approximately 80 nucleotides in length. RNAcentral also lists the same sequence under 1 other name. Lineage: Eukaryota; Metazoa; Chordata; Mammalia; Eulipotyphla; Soricidae. The record is from RNAcentral.
ACUCUCUUAGUAUUAUUAGUACAACUGACUUCCAAUCAGUUAGUCUCGGUUCAGCCCGAGAGAGAGUA